RNAcentral lists this transfer RNA (73 nucleotides) under Thermogemmatispora sp. RNAcentral describes it as "tRNA-Arg". It matches the Rfam family "tRNA". Rfam says of the family: Transfer RNA (tRNA) molecules are approximately 80 nucleotides in length. Their secondary structure includes four short double-helical elements and three loops (D, anti-codon, and T loops). The record is from RNAcentral. Lineage: Bacteria; Bacillati; Chloroflexota; Ktedonobacteria; Thermogemmatisporales; Thermogemmatisporaceae.
GCCGACGUAGCUCAAAGGAUAGAGCAAGCGCGUCCUAAGCGUUAGGUUGGGGGUUCGAGUCCCUCCGUCGGCG